Molecule: microRNA precursor, 91 nt
Organism: Pogona vitticeps (central bearded dragon)
Lineage: Eukaryota; Metazoa; Chordata; Lepidosauria; Squamata; Agamidae
Source: Ensembl
UGUUAUGUGUAUGUGUGAGCAGGCAUCUUCUCAGCCUACAUGUGGAUUCCUAAAUCUGCAGGCUGGUUAGAUGGUUGUCAUACAUUCAUCU